GAGGUUGGUGAAAUGGCCGCUCUUCCGCCAGUAGGCGGAUGGGAGGAAAGUCCGAACUCCGCAGGACAAGGCGCCUCUGAAGAGGAGGGUCCUAUCAGAUGAUGGGAACGGCAAGUGCAGCAGAAAGUAAACAUCCAAUCCGCUGUUUGGCGGAUGGGAAACAGGUGAAAGGGUGGUGUAAGAGACCACCGGUGUUUGUGGAAACAUGGACAGCCGGGUAAACCCCGCCUGGAGCAAGAUCAAGCAAUCCAGUGUGGUCCGCACGUUACGGAUGGGUAGGUCGCAAGAACCUGAUCGCGAGGUCAGGACCAGAUGAAUGGCCAUUAUCCGCCCUUUGGCGGUAACAGAAUUCGGCUUAUGAUCCAACCUCAUAU
Molecule: RNase P RNA, 374 nt
Filed under: Fidelibacterota bacterium
Lineage: Bacteria; Pseudomonadati; Fidelibacterota
Description: RNase P RNA component class A
Rfam family: Bacterial RNase P class A
About the family: Ribonuclease P (RNase P) is a ubiquitous endoribonuclease, found in archaea, bacteria and eukarya as well as chloroplasts and mitochondria. Its best characterised activity is the generation of mature 5'-ends of tRNAs by cleaving the 5'-leader elements of precursor-tRNAs.
Source: RNAcentral